CCUACGGGUGGCAGCAGUGAGGAAUAUUGGUCAAUGGGCGUAAGCCUGAACCAGCCAAGUCGCGUGAGGGAUGAAGGUUCUAUGGAUCGUAAACCUCUUUUAUAAGGGAAUAAAGGGCGGGACGUGUCCCGUUUUGUAUGUACCUUAUGAAUAAGGAUCGGCUAACUCCGUGCCAGCAGCCGCGGUAAUACGGAGGAACCGAGCGUUAUGCGGAUUUAUUGGGUUUAAAGGGUGCGUAGGCGGCCUUUUAAGGCAACGGGGAAAGUCUGUGGCUCAACCAUAGAAUUGCCGUUGAAACUGGCAGGCUUGAGUAUGUUUGAGGCAGGCGGAAUGCGUGGUGUAGCGGUGAAAUGCUUAGAUAUCACGCAGAACCCCGAUUGCGAAGGCAGCCUGCCAGGCCAUGACUGACGCUGAUGCACGAAAGCGUGGGGAUCAAACAGGAUUAGAUACCCUUGUAGUC
Molecule: ribosomal RNA, 460 nt
Filed under: uncultured bacterium
Lineage: Bacteria
Description: partial 16S ribosomal RNA
Rfam family: Bacterial small subunit ribosomal RNA
Source: RNAcentral